AGUACUUGUCAUCACAAGGACCAGAUUUCAAGUACCAGAGUAGUCCUAACUCCUAAAUUUUCCCAAUUUGUCAAAAGUACAUCUAGUGACACAAGAGAAGAAUGUGGAGUAAAUGCCAAUAAAGGCUGGACUGCAGGGGUAUACCUGACUUCUCGGCAAUUUCUGGUUAUCACCAUCCGAAUGACCGAUUCAGAGGAGAAGACCAACUUCAAGGUGACUCUUAUGCAUUGAGAUCUUUCGCUGAU
Saccostrea cuccullata (small rock oyster) is the source of this 245-nucleotide long non-coding RNA. RefSeq lists it as uncharacterized. The transcript has 3 exons. The record is from RefSeq and is a predicted model, not a curated record. NCBI's taxonomy places the organism in Eukaryota, Metazoa, Mollusca, Bivalvia, Ostreida, Ostreidae.